AUACGGAGGGUGCAAGCGUUGUCCGGAUUUAUUGGGUUUAAAGGGUGUGUAGGCGGUGUAUUAAGUCAGUGGUGAAAGCCUGCGGCUCAACCGUAGAACUGCCAUUGAUACUGACACACUUGAGUAUGGACGAGGUAGGCGGAAUUUAUGGUGUAGCGGUGAAAUGCAUAGAUACCAUAAAGAACACCGAUAGCGAAGGCAGCUUACUGGGCCAUAACUGACGCUGAGGCACGAAAGCGUGGGGAGCGAACAGGAUUAGAAACCCCGGUAGUCC
Molecule: ribosomal RNA, 274 nt
Filed under: uncultured bacterium
Lineage: Bacteria
Description: partial 16S ribosomal RNA
Rfam family: Bacterial small subunit ribosomal RNA
Source: RNAcentral